UCUCGGGCUCGGCGGGCAGGCGAGGCGUCGGGGCGGACGGGCAGGCGGUUGGGGACGGGCGGGGGCCGGGCUUCUCCCAGGAACUUGCUUGCGCGGGAGGCUUGGUCAGACGGGCGGCUCUUCCUCGAGGUCCGCGCGGCGCUCCGGCUGUCUGGGAGAAAGCGGUGAAACCGCCGGGUAAGCUCCGCCUGCGUCGGCUGGCCUUCUUCGCCGCCCCGGUGUGCGGGACUCCCACCUCCCAUCCCAUCCAGGCGGCCCGCGGACUUGGGAAUGAGGCACUUCCGAAGACCUGUUUGGGGAGAGGCUGGCGUGGCCCUCUGGCUGGGGAUGAUGGGAGUGGUGGUCCAGCACCUCGGUCUCUCCCAGGGCUGAGGACAAAUUCGGGAUAGAGAACAAGCGAGGAUUGCCGAGAGCUGGUUUCCCCGGUUGGCGGGGCUGGCCGGUGGCGUUGCUGUCACUAGAUGUCCACCGUGAAGUUUGGGGAUGCGUCGUUGCGGGUGGCGUUUCCAAAGGGACUCCUUAGUAGUUUUACCGCAAAGUACCAAACGUGUAUCGGGUUGCAGACGUGCCUAGAUUUCGGCUCCCCUGGCUGGGAGACAGAACAGGGGCUUCUGAUGUAAUUCCAAGCCAGGAGGGACUCUGGUCUGCAGCCCUGAAAACGCAUUGAACAGCCUUCCCCCGAACACCACCUCCAUCUCCCGAAUCCUCAACACGCACAGCCUUUGGGAUGGGAAUUGUUGUCUGGCAUAGGAUCUGCGGGGCAGGGGGCUGCCAGAUGGUGUUGAAAGCAGCACUGGGGGUGGCCUGACGUCUCUGACUCUGUGGGCUUUCCAGACAGUCGCCAGGAGUCAACACUGACUUGAACGCGCACACACACAUUCAUGGAUGCCUCAACUAGAUUGUUAUAGGGAAUGUGAGAUUUCCCCCCCCCCCUGACCUUAUGAGUAAUGCCCGGGCAUGGAAGAAUUGGUGAUUUCAGAAUCCUCUGGUGAAUUCUGCUUGCCGUGUUUAUCCUUACGAUGGUGGUCCGGUGUCCUUUGUAUACAGCUAGUGAGAGAUAUGUAUGAAGGUCUACAGAGUGUAAGUAACUAUUACAGAUGGGUUAGUAACAUUACUGCUGACAGAUGUGGAAUGAGGAGGGGGGAAAGUCAUGGUCUGUCUGAAGGUGUAUUUCUAAAAGGCCAAUAGGGCAAGCAGCAUAGCCUGGCAUGUUCAGAUCCAAGCUACUGUCUGCAUUGUGUUACCCAAAAAAUUGGUGUAAGUGUUCCUUUAAUCAACGAGAAUGGUUGGUAUAUGAAGGUAGAGGAUCAAUUGAUUUUAAUUCUGUUCAGUUACAGUUGAGUUAUUUCAUACGGCUGUACCUCACAACCACACACUUAUGGGAGAGACAGGAUUGCCUUCAUGUAGCUUUAGCAACCUAAAUUUAACAAGACUGGGGAGCUCAGUUGAGCAAGAUUUUUUUUUUCUUACAUACUCUUUGCUUUGUGGAAAGUUUUUAAUGCCAGGUGGUCUUUUUGGUAACCACAGUAGGCUUUUUAAUAGCUAUCACCUAUUCACUGAAAACAGCUGUUUACAUGGAAAGUGCUGGCAAUGCGUACCUCAGUUUCCUUUGUUGCACAAAUGGCUGUGUGAAGUUAGACUGACCUUGAGGGUACAUGAGAUUAAACUGAUUUUUCUUGUGGCCCAGAGGAACAGACUUUUCAGCAGUGCUAUAUUAACUGUAAAUUGGAGGAUUUAGGCUGUUCUGGUUCCAAAGCAGCGGGACAAAGACCAGACUAGGGAGCUGCAAUUAAGAGUUGGAAAGAAUUCCAGAAGCUUCCCAGCUUUUUUUUUAUUCCAGCUGUUGGGCAGAUUAAAAAUAAGAUAAUUACACAGACACCUCCCCAAUGGACCACGAACAUAUUCUUAGAAAAUAAACAAGCAGCUGUUAAGCCCAGUGCCUAAAUUCACAUAGUGCAUAAAAUAAUGUGAAUUAUGCCCUGUUGCGUGAACUGAUGUAAAUUAUGCUUUAUUGUGUGAAUCGAUGUAAUCCUUGCCUCAGUGCCAGAGAGAUGCACAGAAGGUGCACGAAUUGGAGGACUUUCUGGUCUCACAGCUUUUGCUCCUUGUUUUUGGUUGACACGGUAAAGUUUUUAUGAUAAUACUGUUUUGUUUUGUUUUGUUUUGUUUUGAUUUGAUGUACACUGCUUGGAGUUACGAUUACGUGAGUUGGGCAGCUACAUCCUUCUUCUUAAUUAGUGCUUCUCAACCUUGACAACUUUAAGAUGUGUGGACUUCAGCUCCCAGAAUUCCCCAUGCUGGCUGGGGAAUUCUGGGAGCUGAAAUCCACACAUCUUAAAGUUGUCAAGGUUGAAAAACACUGAUGUAAAGGCUCUGGCAUUCUGAAACAUUGUAAAAUUAAAACCUGGUAGGAAGGAAGUGUGGGCUUGUUCGGUGUGUCUGAUACCUUGCCAGUACUUUUUAUUUGCUACAGGUGACCAUAUGAAUAGCUCUGAACCAGGCCUGUCCCCAGCCUAUUAUGAGCUUACCGCUUCCUGGCCUGCAGAGUUCGAGGCAUGAAUUAUAACCUGAACACAAACGUCGAAAUCUGUUAAGUGGGUUGCUACCUCAAAUCCCUCUUAACCCAAGCUGGCCGGUGCUCCUCAUGAGCCGGCUGAGGGCUGGGGGGCAAAAAGAUGGGGAAACCUACGGCUGGGGUUACCUUUUGCAACUGUGACUUCAGUAUACACGAACCCCAACAUGGCAGCGACUGCAGCGUGGGGCCACCGUCUCCGUUUCGGCUGCCCUGCCCUUGGUCUGUCCUCUUCCUGUCCUGCCCGGUGUUCUUUGACCUCAAUCUGCAGCUGCUGGAAACUCAUGCCUUUGCUUCUCCCUCAGCAGUUCAGGAGCUGCCUCAGAAAGUUCUGCUUUCUACCCUAAGUGUCCCUCACCUCAGCCCUCUCAAUAUUCUCAAGGCAAGCUUUUCAAUGUGACGUUUGCAUUCCUCCGCCUGGAGACGUCCAGGCACCGUCCACAUUUCACGCGCAUGGCUCCUCGUCUCUUUUGCAGCGCCCAGCCCUGUCUGUUCACUGCCUCUGCCUUGCAUCUCAGGCAUCUUCCAUCGUGUGCCCUCUUCCUGGCCAAAUCAGUCCUCUUUUGCGAUGCCCCAGUUGUCCGUCCCGUUUGGAGGCGCUCGGAGGGGGAUUCCCAAUAAAGCGUGUCCCUUGAGUAUCCCUGCACCGGGUCAGCAGAUCCAUCACUCAUGCUGCAUGCAAAGAGUUUGCUAUCCCUAGACGCAAAAUGUGGACAGUUGGAAUGGGGUAAGUGAUGUUGUUAGUGCUGAAUAGUUUAGACCGUGUUGACCGCUAAUAAGAUGAGAAGACGACGAGUCCCCUCAAGAAAUUUACAGCCAUCAUCAACUGCAGGGACUGACAGCUGAAGUAAGUCCAGUUGAUCUCAGUGGGGCUUCGUUGCUUGUAAGCAUGGCUUGGAUUGCAGCCUGAGCUUUAUGUCCAAGACAGAUUUCCUCGUUCUCUGUUUUCCCUUCUCAGAUGGGACACCUCCUUCGUACAUUCCUGGGAUUCAGCUAUGCCGCAUCUUGAAAUGUGGUGGUUUGGGAACCUGCCUGACUUAAACGUGUCUUCCAGAAAGGGGUCGUCCUCCAGGUGGCAUUAUAAUCCCAAGAUUCCUUGGCAUGAGGAAUAAGAAUGCUGUUAAGAAAAGUAUUUCAGUAGGUCUUUUUAAGAUGCAAAACCUUGCACUCUUGAUUAUUACGCAGGACUUUUUGUGUGUGUUUAAAAGAAAAAACUGCAGCCAGAAAAUGUUUUCUGGUUGGUUGGUUUUAAAUUGCAUCCUGGUAUGUUCAGCUUUUGAAUCUUGAGUGAAGAGAAUUUCCAAAUGAAGGAAAAGCCACAGAAAUGUUUAUCCUCUGAGCUGUGGACUUUUUGCUUAUAAAAUGAACUCGAUUAUUGGAGGUUGAAAGGGGACGUGAAGGAUGAAAUCACACUUCUGCUAUGCUGGUAUGCAACAACCUCCCCAACAAGUUCCUGGAAGUUUGGACUACAAUGAUCAUGGUCCCCAGCUCGAUGAUCAACCUGGGUAGGGUAUGAUAGGAACAGUAGUCCAACACGUUUAAAUGGUAUGAUGUUGCAAAUGGUUGAUUUUGUUCAUUCAGCUGAACAAGAUGUAAGUUUCAGUGGGGUCCCUGUAUGGACUCGGGGGAGAGUCCAAAUGCCUGAGUACAAGAAAGACAGCAGAUACAGUCCUUGCAAGCUAAACAGUUCUUUGUACAUGAGCAACACAAAUAAAUUUUUUAAAAUUCUG
This is a long non-coding RNA of Candoia aspera, 4302 nucleotides long. RefSeq lists it as uncharacterized. NCBI's taxonomy places the organism in Eukaryota, Metazoa, Chordata, Lepidosauria, Squamata, Candoiidae. The transcript is spliced from 2 exons. The record is from RefSeq and is a predicted model, not a curated record.